This 85-nucleotide transfer RNA is filed under the name Clostridiales bacterium. Its description in RNAcentral is "tRNA-Leu". It matches the Rfam family "tRNA". From Rfam's summary of the family: Transfer RNA (tRNA) molecules are approximately 80 nucleotides in length. Their secondary structure includes four short double-helical elements and three loops (D, anti-codon, and T loops). Lineage: Bacteria; Bacillati; Bacillota; Clostridia; Eubacteriales. The record is from RNAcentral.
GCGGCCGUGGCGGAACGGCAGACGCGCCGGCCUUAGGAGCCGGUGCCAUCAAGGCGUGGGGGUUCAAGUCCCUUCGGCCGCACCA